Molecule: ribosomal RNA, 488 nt
Filed under: uncultured bacterium
Lineage: Bacteria
Description: partial 16S ribosomal RNA
Rfam family: Bacterial small subunit ribosomal RNA
Source: RNAcentral
GAUGAACGCUAGCUACAGGCUUAACACAUGCAAGUCGAGGGGCAGCAUGAACUUAGCUUGCUAAGUUUGAUGGCGACCGGCGCACGGGUGAGUAACACGUAUCCAACCUGCCGAUGACUCGGGGAUAGCCUUUCGAAAGAAAGAUUAAUACCCGAUGGCAUAGUUCUUCCGCAUGGUAGAACUAUUAAAGAAUUUCGGUCAUCGAUGGGGAUGCGUUCCAUUAGGUUGUUGGCGGGGUAACGGCCCACCAAGCCUUCGAUGGAUAGGGGUUCUGAGAGGAAGGUCCCCCACAUUGGAACUGAGACACGGUCCAAACUCCUACGGGAGGCAGCAGUGAGGAAUAUUAGUCAAUGGACGAGAGUCUGAACCAGCCAAGUAGCGUGAAGGAUGACUGCCCUAUGGGUUGUAAACUUCUUUUAUACGGGAAUAAAGUGAGGCACGUGUGCCUUUUUGUAUGUACCGUAUGAAUAAGGAUCGGCUAACUCCGU